CGCCCCGGGCGCCCACCCGGAGCCCCGGCCCUGGGGCCGCCGCCCGCGCCAGGUGAGGUGGCAGCACGCCCUGGACCUCCCUGCAUUGCAGGCCGUCCUGAGGCUGGACAGCAAGGACACAAGAAAAUGGACUCUCUCCUCCUGAAGACCUGAAUGCCAGCUGCCAGCCACUAGCCAUGGUGCCAGCAUUUGCAGUCUGCUGGAAGAAAACAACAUCAAGAUGGGAAGAUGCGUCAAAGGGAGGUGAAAAACUGAAACCGCCAGCCGUUUGAGCUGCAGGCUGCACCAGAGCAGUGUGACCGACGCAGAUGGCAAGAGCACCGGGCAGCCACUUCCUCCUGCGUGCCAUGCAUCUUCCUCACACCAGCCAGCUUCCCAAGGCUGCAGGAAGUGGGGCCAGAACAGCCCUCCGGGUGUGUGUGGUGGGGCCUGAGCAGGGGCUGGCAGCUGUGAGGGUGAGAACAGAAGUCUGCAAGGUCCCUGCUGGGUCCUGGAGCCACCAGUGCCAGAGUCCCUGCCCGGGCCUGCCCAGGACCAGCCUGCAGCAGACUCACACUCAGGCCGGUCUCCCUGGACGUUGUGAGCCAUCGUACCAAAGGCUCAAGCCCAAGAAGCAAGCUGGAGCAUGGAGCCGAAUCUUUUCUCAAAGGAAAUGCAGUUGUGGUUUUGAGACGUUCAUAUUUCACAGCUGUGGUUGGCGUUUCCCAGGGUUCUCAGAGGUGAAUGCAGGGUCAGCUCCAUGUCGCCAAAUAAGGUUCACAGUGACCUUAGCAACAGACUUCACUGCCCAUUGGCUGCCACUGUCACCGCCUGCCAGUGCGGCCUCCCGAAGGCCAAUGCUCAAGCCGAGCUGCAGCUUCCACAUGUGCAGAGGUUCAGAGCCUCUGCCGGAAGCCACUGCCCUGGGGAGCAGCCACAGAUAGGUAGAGAGCCAGGACAAAGGUGGACCAGGUUGUGGGCAGGACUGCCCAGGUGCCCGAGUUUCAGAGUCCACCUGGCCAGCACUCCACCAACUGAGUGCUCACACGGCCCCAGACCAGCACUGCCAGCUUCACGACUGGUCUUCGCUUGCAGGACUAGACCCCA
Long non-coding RNA from Tupaia belangeri chinensis (Chinese tree shrew), 1086 nucleotides. RefSeq lists it as uncharacterized. The transcript is spliced from 4 exons. The record is from RefSeq and is a predicted model, not a curated record. NCBI's taxonomy places the organism in Eukaryota, Metazoa, Chordata, Mammalia, Scandentia, Tupaiidae.